This 253-nucleotide ribosomal RNA is filed under the name uncultured bacterium. Its description in RNAcentral is "partial 16S ribosomal RNA". It matches the Rfam family "Bacterial small subunit ribosomal RNA", at positions 524 to 776 of the family's 1533-position model. The record is from RNAcentral.
UACGUAGGGUCCAAGCGUUGUCCGGAAUUACUGGGCGUAAAGAGCUCGUAGGUGGUUUGUCGCGUUGUUCGUGAAAACUCACAGCUCAACUGUGGGCGUGCGGGCGAUACGGGCAGACUUGAGUACUGCAGGGGAGACUGGAAUUCCUGGUGUAGCGGUGGAAUGCGCAGAUAUCAGGAGGAACACCGGUGGCGAAGGCGGGUCUCUGGGCAACAACUGACGCUGAGGAGCGAAAGCGUGGGGAGCGAACAGG